AUGCUUGAAAUCACCUUCUGGAUUUUCCAGCAAAGCAAUGGACCAGCACACCACCACCCUGUCCUUUUGCUUCUUCAAUGAAAUCGAAGCAUUCCUCAAAGUAAUGUGAAAUAUUUACAUCAACUCUGUCAUGAACAGAAAGGACUUUGUAGACAAACUCAUUUGGAUAAGGAGGAUUUAUAUCUCUAGCAAUCGUCAAAAUAUGAGUUAGAUUCAAGCUUUUGAGUGCAACUUUAUUGUUGGCAGCUCCAAGGGACCCUAAAUAGAGACCCUCUUCAAUCAUACAAGGAUUCUUAUCUUCUCGAAUGAUUUUUGCUACAGACAUUGCGCGCAUUAGAGCUUCAAUUUGCCCAUUAUAAUAGUCCAGAGCUUGAGCCAUUUCUCGGUUUCUUCCUUGAAAUAGCUUGAACUUUCUCGCUGCGAAUUUGCAGAGAAAUAAUAUUACAUUAAAG
This 452-nucleotide unclassified non-coding RNA is filed under the name Hevea brasiliensis (rubber tree). The record is from RNAcentral. Lineage: Eukaryota; Viridiplantae; Streptophyta; Magnoliopsida; Malpighiales; Euphorbiaceae.